RNAcentral lists this ribosomal RNA (384 nucleotides) under uncultured Polyporales. Its description in RNAcentral is "eukaryotic LSU rRNA". The stretch from base 329 to 384 matches the Rfam family "Eukaryotic large subunit ribosomal RNA", at positions 1 to 56 of the family's 3401-position model. The record is from RNAcentral. Lineage: Eukaryota; Fungi; Basidiomycota; Agaricomycetes; Polyporales.
UCGAUAGUGAGUGAAUCAUCGAAUCUUUGAACGCACCUUGCACUUUAAGAGUCAAUCUUAAAGUACACCUGUUUGAGUAUCAUAACAUUUAUCCAAUUUAUUUGGGAGUUGAGGGUUUAGUUGCCACGGCGAUUAUCCCUUUAAAUGUAUUAGGGACUCUAGGAUAAGCAGUCUUAUAUCUAGAAUGAGGAUAUUACUCUUGUAGUAACAUAAUCAGGAAGGAGUAAAAGGGCUAAUCCGAUCAUGAGUUUCUCAGCCGCUUGUUUGACUUCUUAGUUAGUUAAUUUAUUAAUUAAACGAGACAGACAGACAGCAACUUGUACAAAUGUGAUCUCAAAUCAGGCAAGAUUACCCGCCGAACUUAAGCAUAUCAAUAAGCGGAGG